This 238-nucleotide unclassified non-coding RNA is filed under the name uncultured fungus. RNAcentral's name for it is "sequence contains ITS2". Lineage: Eukaryota; Fungi. The record is from RNAcentral.
AACGCACAUUGCACCUUCUAGUAUUCUGGAGGGUAUGCCUGUUUGAGCGUCAUUACAACCGUCAAGCACUGCUUGGUAUUGGAUGUCACUUCUGUGGUGCAUCUCAAAAGUAUUGGCAGUUGCAUCUAGCUUCUAGUGUAGUAAAUUUCUCGCUAUGGAGUUGGGUGUUUAACCACCAGAACCCCUAAUAUUUUAUGAAGUUGACCUCAGAUCAGGUAGGGAUACCCGCUGAACUUAA